This 70-nucleotide transfer RNA is filed under the name Marmota monax (woodchuck). Its description in RNAcentral is "tRNA.Ala". Lineage: Eukaryota; Metazoa; Chordata; Mammalia; Rodentia; Sciuridae. The record is from RNAcentral.
GGGAUGGGGCUCAGUGGUAGGGCCCCUAUCUAGCAGGUGCGAGGUCCUGGGUUCAAUUCUCAGCAUCACA